RNAcentral lists this ribosomal RNA (290 nucleotides) under uncultured soil bacterium. RNAcentral's name for it is "partial 16S ribosomal RNA". It matches the Rfam family "Bacterial small subunit ribosomal RNA", at positions 26 to 309 of the family's 1533-position model. The record is from RNAcentral.
AGAGUGAACGCUGGCGGCAGGCCUAAUACAUGCAAGUCGAACGGCAGCACGGCAGAGCUUGCUCUGUGGGUGGCGAGUGGCGGACGGGUGAGGAAUACAGUGGGAAUCUGCCCAGUCGUGGGGGAUAACGUAUGGAAACGUACGCUAAUACCGCAUGCGCCCGUUCGGGGGAAAGCCGGGACCUUCGGGCCUGGCGCGAUUGGAUGACGCCCAGUGUCGAUUAGCUAGGUUGGACGGGGUAACGCCCACAAGGCGACGUAUCCGUAGCUAGGUCUAGAGGAGGAUAGAUC